This 444-nucleotide ribosomal RNA is filed under the name Salmonella enterica subsp. enterica serovar Rubislaw str. A4-653. RNAcentral's name for it is "LSU rRNA". Lineage: Bacteria; Pseudomonadati; Pseudomonadota; Gammaproteobacteria; Enterobacterales; Enterobacteriaceae. The record is from RNAcentral.
AAUCGCGACCGCGCGUUAAAAUUGGCGCACGACCGUUGGCUUUAUCGGUUUGGCAGGCAGCGACGGCGUGUCAUGUUAUAACGGCGAUUAGUAUAACUAUUACACGUUUAAUAAGCGUACCGCCGCCUUCUCAAAUGGGUCCGCUACUUACCGCAAGCACUCAAAUUGGCGGACGUCCCCUAGCUGGACUUCCCGAUAGUCACGCUUUGGUAAAAACAGCUAGGCGGCGCGUCGCCAGACCUGUCGCUUUGCCUUUUUUACCACGUCCGAAUAGGUGCAUAAGACAUGUAAAGGACGUUAGGCCUUUGCAACACGUUUUUGGACCUAUGCAAUUCGGUCUGCGUGUGCCACAGAGCGGACCGCGAUAAGCUAGUCAAGGGUAUAUGCGUAGUAUACCUUACGCCCCAUAAUGAGUGGCGUUCCAUUUUACAUGCAGCCUACCGG